AUUGAACGCUGGCGGCAGGCCUAACACAUGCAAGUCGAACGGUAACAGGAAACAGCUUGCUGUUUCGCUGACGAGUGGCGGACGGGUGAGUAAUGUCUGGGAAACUGCCUGAUGGAGGGGGAUAACUACUGGAAACGGUAGCUAAUACCGCAUAACGUCGCAAGACCAAAGAGGGGGACCUUCGGGCCUCUUGACAUCGGAUGUGCCCAGAUGGGAUUAGCGAGUAGGUGGGGUAACGGCUCACCUAGGCGACGAUCCUUAGCUGGUCUGAGAGGAUGACCAGCCACACUGGGACUGAGACGCGGUCCUGACUCCUACGGGAGGCAGCAGUGGGGAAUAUUGAACAAUGGGCGCAAGCCUGAUGCAGCCAUGCCGCGUGUAUGAAGAAGGCCUUCGGGUUGUAAAGUACUUUCAGCGGGGAGGAAGGGAGUAAAGUUAAUACCUUUGCUCAUUGACGUUACCCGCAGAAGAAGCACCGGCUAACUCCGUGCCAGCCGCCGCGGUAA
Molecule: ribosomal RNA, 506 nt
Filed under: uncultured bacterium
Lineage: Bacteria
Description: partial 16S ribosomal RNA
Rfam family: Bacterial small subunit ribosomal RNA
Source: RNAcentral